Molecule: ribosomal RNA, 440 nt
Filed under: uncultured bacterium
Lineage: Bacteria
Description: partial 16S ribosomal RNA
Rfam family: Bacterial small subunit ribosomal RNA
Source: RNAcentral
CCUACGGGUGGCUGCAGUGGGGAAUAUUGCACAAUGGGGGAAACCCUGAUGCAGCGACGCCGCGUGAGUGAAGAAGUCAUUCGGUGUGUAAAGCUCUAUUAGUAGGACAGAAAAUGACGGUACCUGAGUCAGACGCCCCGUCUAACUACGUGACAGCAGCCGCGGUAAUACGUAGGGGGCAAGCGUUAUCCGGAUUUACUGGGUGUAAAGGGGGCGUAGACGGCUGUGCAGGUCAGGAGUGAAAGGCGGGGGCUCAACCCCCGGACUGCUCUGGAAACUGUUCGGCUGGAGUGCAGGAGAGGUAAGUGGAAUUCAUGGUGUAGCGGUGAAAUGCGUAGAUAUUAGGAGGAACACCGGUUGCGAAGGCAGCUUACCGGACUGUAACUGACGUUGAGGCACGAAAGCGUGGGGAGCAAACAGGAUUAGAUACCCCGGUAGUC